GGCUGGUCUGAGCUCCAGAAUCAGCAUCAGCAGCUAAAAGCCAGACGAGGGGAGCGAAGAGCAGCUGAAACCAGAGGCUGUAGUACCGAGCGAUCUCCGUCUUUAUGAAUCCUGACGACACAAGAAACCCUUCACAGAUAAUGAAAGCUUCAUGCAAACAUCAGACCAUUCAGUCGUCACUAACCAGGAUGGAGGCUGUAACAGGUGACGUCAGAGCCCUGCAGCCUCUUGGCGAGCUCGUAGGUGAACAGGACGUUGCACAGUUUGCUGUGGCAGUACUUCGCGAGGAGCUGCAUGUUGCUGUUGCCCAAACCCAACUCUUUGUGAGUCGUCAGGUAGUUAAAAUCCACUUUCCCCGACUCAUAGGCCUGGGAGGCGACAUUCACCACCCGGCUCGGCCCGCUGGCCUUCAGCCGGUCCAACAGCAGCAUCGUUAACAGGAAGGAACCCAGGUGGUUGACACCGAAGAUCAUCCCGAAGCCGUCCUCCGUCUUUCCGUCACUUAUUAGACCUGAAAACACCAGGAAAGAUGAACUUCAACUAGAACACAAAUUCAGUAACACAUAGAGUCCCCCAGAGAAGAUACACAUAUAAAUGAACGAAUUAAUAAACUGACCGGCGUUGUUGAUGAGGAGAUCCAACCUGGGCUCAGACUUCAGGAAGUUAUCGGCGAAGGAACGAACUGACUGCAGACUGGCCAGAUCCAGUUGCAUGAAGAUCACCUGCUGGUUUCCUGUUUCCUGAUCAGUGUUUUCAAACAAAGCACAUUUCAAUUACAUCUGUGUCCAACUUUAAGGAGUAAAAACAACAAUUUCCACGUUUGGGGUUAAUAUCACUUUGUGGAAACAGAAAAGACUGAAAUGUAAGAGGACCCAGUUUGGAGCCCUGAGGAACACCAAGAAGUUUUUUUGUAAUUAUUGAUGCCCCUACAACAAUACAACAUCUUUCAAAGAAAUAUUUUUAGGAAUUUAUGUCUUAUUUUAUCCUUCACAUUUCCAUAAAAAUGCAGAGCAAAGAAGAAAUGUAUUUUUUUCUCUACUUUGUUCCAAGUUGCUGAUUUAUUAGAUUCACGCUUACAAAGAAACAAAGACGUAAAAACACUUAAAGUUUCUGUUAAAAUAUGCAGUCAUACAGCUUGUAGUGUGUAGUGUUUCAGUUAAAUCCAAAUUUUCCAGUGUUUAGGAUUAACAUCACCUCGUGGUAACAUCUGUGAACAGAAAACAGAGAGGACCCAGCAUGGAGCCCUGAGGAACACCAGGAAGUGGUGCUCUAGUUAACGAUGCUCCAACAGCAAUACUGUCUCGUUUUAUUUUAUUUUUAACAAAGCUGAUUUUUAUUCACUUCAAUACCUUUCACAUUUCCAUAGAAGUGUAUUUUUCCUCCCAUUUGUUCCAAGUUGCUGAUUUAUUAGAUUCACUCUUACAAAGACAUAAAAACACUUACGGUUUCUGUUAAAACAUGCAGUCAUACAGCUGUUAAUAGUGUUUGUACUUGGUUCUAAGUGUUUCAGUUACAUCUGUGUCGAACUAUAACCAGUAAAAAGAUAUCCAGAGUUGUCAGAUUUUUAGAUGUUUGUGAUUACUACAACUUUAUGGUAACAUCUGUAGACUGAAAACAAAGAGGACCCAGUAUGGAGCCCUGAGGAAUACCAGGAAAUCCUGUUUCUUCACUGCCGCUGGCUCAGGUCAGAAACUCUGCUAGUCUUUACCUGGAUGAUUUCCUGGACAGCAGCUUCAGCUCUCCGUCUGUCCCGGCAGGCCAGGAUCACCUUGGCCCCCCUCCUGGCCAGGUCCAUGGCCGUGGUCUUACCGAUGCCGGUGUUUGCUCCUGGAAGACGCAACACAGUUUUACCUUCAGCCAGCUCUAGACUAAAACCCCUCAACAACUGCUUGAUGGAUUCACAUGAAACCUUAUAAAACAUUCAUGGUUCCCAGCAGAUAAAUCCUGCCAGUUGUGGUGGUUUCGUGUCUGUUUGUGGAGGUUUUGAGUCCCAUUGCUGUCAUUUUGUGUAUUUUUGAGGUUGUUUUUGUCUCUUUUUUGUCGUUUUGCAUCUUAGUGUUCAACUUUGUCUCUUUGUGUUGGAUUUCUGUCUAUUUGAGGUUGUUUCAUAUCUUUGGGAUAACUUUUUUGUCACUUCACAAUUGUUUUGUCUGUCUUUCUGUUCUUUUUUGUGUCCCUAAUGAUGUUUUGGGUUUUAAUUUUCUGGUUUUGUAUCUCUUUGUGGUCAUUUUGUGUCUCUUAGAUGUUGAUUUGAGUCCAUCUGUGAUCAUUUUCUGUCUGUGGUGCUCUGCUUCUAACCCCCUCAUGUCAUUCUGCAAGUUUCAUUAUCAGAAAACAAAGUCCAGCUGAUAGGAAUUCUGCAGGUAUGCAAGAGUUGGACAGAUAAAAACCUGAUGGUGGAAUAAAUGAGGGGUUAGAAGCAGAGUGAUCUAACCCACAAAACAUCCAAAUUGAGUUUUAUAUAAUUCCUGUAAUAUUUUAUGGUCUAGAUUUUAGUUUCAGAGUGGUCUGACCCACAACCCAAAUACAGCGUUACAGUGGAGCUUCCAAUGUGAGACCGUUCUGGAAAACACUAAACUUUGAACCCAUUUUCCUCCAAAACUACAGAAAAUGGGUCAGACCACUCUGCUUCUAACCAUUCUUGUCCAAGAUGCUUAAAAAUGAUCCAAAAUCAGUCAGAAUUUCAAUCACAUGAUUAAAAAUGGUCCAGAAUGACUGUAAAUUUACAGAAUGACACUAAAUUUGUUCAAGACGCUUUAAAAAUCAUCCAAAAUGACUCAUAGUUUGUCUAAAAUGAGUUGAAAAAGAUCCAAAAUUACAGAAAAUUUGUCCAGAAUUACACAAAAGUCGUCAGAAAUGACAAAAAUCUUCCCAAAUUGAUUUCAAAAUGUAUAAAAUGGCUCAGAAUUGGUCCAAAAUGACUUAAGUCUGUUCAUAAUGAACUGAGAAUUAUUAUAAAUGACUGAUUAGCAUCAUAGUUUGUAUAUUAGAGACAGAUGUGUCCUCUGGGUGUGAAAGUUAAACCUUUAACCUGUAUUCUAUCCAACAGCCAGCAGAGGACGACUCUUCUGGUCGUAAAAGGAAGUCUGAUCUUAUAAAAGAGGAUCUGUGAACGUUUUCCUCAUGAGUUUAUGGUUUCAGUUGCUAGUUUGAAGUCUCCUAUAAUAGAGAACAGUGUUUCUUUAGUGAAUGUUCGUCCCAUUUAUGGUAAAAAGGACGUUUCAGUCCAAAGCACUGACUCCACUCACACAUGUGGCUGCAAACUAUCUAAGGCGUCGUUCUCCAGCUGUGGACUCACCGGUGACGACGGCAGUUUUCCCAUGAAGCUUUGCUGCACUUUUACACCUGGGCAGCUUGAAAACAGUCAGACGCAGAAGGAAAAUCCCUCCGACUGCCAGAGCUCCACACAGCAGCAGUAGCAGCAUGAUGGAAACAGAGGAAGAGAAUCAGGACUGCGAGCUGCUCAGCUGUUCUCUGUUGUGUAACAGUUGGACGGUAUCAGCUGAUCCACGCCCUCCGGCUCCGAGCCAACGCUGCUCCCUGGAGAAAUAAACUGCAGCGAGUUUUAUUAUCAGCCCUGAGCAGACAGACAGGACGCUGGUGGACGCUGGGUCAAAGGUGGACAGAGCUGCAGCUUGCUGGUACCAAGUCCUGCUUAGUUUCCUGUCUGGUAAAAAUAAUCUCCUUUCCUAAGAUUAAGUCUGUCCAGUUUGUGUCGUUGCUAGUGUUCUUUGUAAUUCUGUCGGUUCAUGUGUCGUUUAUCCUCCAUCCUGUAGUUGUUUCCCCUUUACCAUUUACUUCCUGUUUAAUUUAUUGUAAGUAAAUUCAUUAUUGUUCAGUAUUCCAUUCUAUUUUGUCCUUUUGUCUCACUUUAUGGUCGUUCUGAAUUGUUGUUUGGCCAUUUUGUGUCUCUUUGAGGUCGUUUUGCAUCUCUUAGCUUUAGCAUUCCCUAAAAUCGCUCAACUACGAGCAGAGUUCAUCAAAUAUUGUCUUCUUGCACUGCCAGCAUCUGAGGAACUCAAUAUCCCACGGAUUUUUGUUAUUGGCGGCAUUGUUUGUCAAUAAUGUCAAUAAGAAAAUCUUAAGUGUUGGCAUGUUGUGCAACUACUUUGGCUAACGUUAGCAUUGAUCUGCCCACAGGUCAGAGCUCUGUCGAAACUUUAAACCAGCAAACAGGGACUGGGUGGGUUACUGUGUUGGUUAUUUGUGGGAUAUUUGAGACUUCCAGAAAUUUUCCAAAAUGGACACAAAAUGUGAUCUUUAAUGAAACCUUUCUCACAGAAGCCUUUGAAAAACCUUUUGAGUGUCCUAAUGAUGCACUCAGCUGCAACAAAAUAACAGACGGGUGGUUGGAAGAUAUUUUUAUUUGUAACAAAACAGUAGCCCUUCCAAACUUCUACUUUUUCCAUAUAGUUGUAGCUUAUAAACUUGCAGUGAUUCUGAGAACUGUGUUUGGUUGAUACUGAUGUUAGUUUGGGUUUGUGAGACUCUUGAUUCACAUGGAAACAACCUGUAGAAGCCAGCAUUAAUACUAUUUUUAACUUUUUAAGGGUUAAUGCAUUCAAAGACGCCCAAACUUUUCUGUUCAGGCCCUGUUGGCAGAGAUUAAAACCAAAGCUGUGGCUCCAGGUUUUAGGACAGACCACAGAACGUCUGGCUGAGUUCCCACAGCUUCCUGGAGGUGGCGUCAUCCCUGGCUUUCGGCUCGAUGCUGAUCAGCGGGGCACACUGGGUGAAGUAGUGUCCGCUGAGGUGUUCGAUGCCUGACUCCAGGGCACAGUGGAGGCUGGUCUGAGCUCCAGAAUCGGCAUCCACAAAGAAGAGGAAGACCAGGGGCUUGAUGAGGAGCGUCCACCAAAAGCUAGAGUGUCUAAAUAUCUCCGUCGUUAUGGCUCCUGGACAGAAAAGAGGAAAUGUUUAACUGACAGAAUGUGUAGUUUACAGGCAGGAAGGCAGCUCUUUGUGGUGGUUUUGUGUUUCUUGCUGGUCAGUUUUGCCAUUUUCACCAGCCUCUAUACCCCUUGUGAUGCCAGUGUCUCCCACCACUACCCACCAUGUCAAUCUUCAGGUUCAACUUCUGCAUACAAGAUGCUAGUUUCACGUGCCUCCAUCCCCCUACAUCAGCAAUCUUGUGGUCAAACUUCUGGCACCGGGAUGCCAGUUUCUGUUAGCUCUUUCCCAUCUCUUUAUCAAUAUCCUGUUAUUUGACAAGUAGGCAGCGGGGGCUCUAGUGGUAAGGGCUUUGGGCUGCUGAUCAUUUUGUUGUGCAGUUGAAUGAAAUUUAAAUCUUUUUCUAUUUUCCCCCUAUUUAUGGCAAAGGGGUGUCAUUUUUUCUCAUCUUCCUCAUCUUCAUACCCUACUUCAAGAGCUGUCUGCUUCUAGUUUUGGCACCAGGAAGCCAGUUCGCCUCACCUCUAUCCACACAGUAACAACCUUCUCAUCCUACUUCUGGUACCGAGAUGCCAGUUUCCCUAACUUCUAUAUCAUUUGUCAACAAUCUUCUGCUUACAUUUCUGGUACCAGGAUGCUAGGUUCUCUUACCUCUACCACCAUACUUCAUCAUUCUUAUCUUAUUUAUGGCACAAGGAUGCCCUUUACUCUCACCUUCAAUCUCAACAUCAAUAAUUGUCUGCUUCUGGUUCUGGCACCUGGAUGCCAGUUUCUUUCACCUUCAUACCCAACUUCAACAGCUGUCUUCUUCUAGUUCUGGCACCAGGAUGCCAGUUCGUCUCACCUCUAUCCCCACACUAACAGCCUUCUGAUCUUACUUCUGGCACCAAGAUGCCAGUUUCCUUAACUUUUAUAUCAUUUGUCAGCAAUCUUCUGUUUACAUUUCUGGUACCGGGAUGCUAGGUUCUAUUACCUCUACCACCACACUUCAUCAAUUGUGUCUCUUUACUCUCACCUUGAUACCCCACUUCAAUAGCUAUCUGGUUCUGGCACCUAGAUGUCAAGUCAUCUCACCUCAAUCCCCCACACUGACAAUCACCUACUUUUAUUUCUGGUACUGGGAUGCCAGGACCACUUGCCUCUAUAACCACACUUCAUUAAUCUUCUGAUAUCUGGCACCAGGAUAACAGUUUCUUUCACUUUCAUAUCCAACUUCUAGUUCAGGCACCAGGAUCCCAGUUCGUCUCACCUCUACCCCUCACAUAAACAAUGUUCUGUUAUCAUUCUGGCAGCGGGAUGCCAUUUUUCAGUUUUUUGGGUGGUAAGGUAGUGGAACUGGAAUGAUGUCCCCUUCCUGUACCACAACCAAAUCUGAACUUCGCUAGCUUCUUUCUAUGACCUUACCAAAUUUGAUCCAUUUUACUACCCUAAUGUGUUGUUUUGCCCCUACUUCAGGUUGUUUUGUCUCUUCGACUUAGUUUUAUGACUCUUUGUGAUUAUGUUGCAUCUCUUUGAGAUUGUCUGUGCCUCUGAAAUGCUUUUGUUUCAAUUUGUGGUUGUUUUUUGGCUCUUUUUUUGCUAUUUUGCUUCUCUUAAAGGUUUUUAUUUUGUCCCUUUGUGGUUAUUUUUAGCCUUUUGGUCUUUGUGGUCAUUUUGCAUCAUUUUAAGGUCAGUUGUCAAAUUGUUAGACAACUAAUAAGUACAUGUUGUGUUUCAUAUCUUGGGAUUUUCCCUGCAUUGACUUUCAAAGCAAAGAUGGAUGUAGAUGAUGAAAGCUACAUGCAAACAUCAGACCAUUCAGUCGUCACUAACCAGGAU
Long non-coding RNA from Amphiprion ocellaris (clown anemonefish), 6708 nucleotides. RefSeq lists it as uncharacterized. NCBI's taxonomy places the organism in Eukaryota, Metazoa, Chordata, Actinopteri, Pomacentridae. The record is from RefSeq and is a predicted model, not a curated record. The transcript is spliced from 3 exons.